RNA transcript from Phragmites australis (common reed), 1085 nucleotides. RefSeq lists it as uncharacterized. The record is from RefSeq and is a predicted model, not a curated record. Lineage: Eukaryota; Viridiplantae; Streptophyta; Magnoliopsida; Poales; Poaceae. The transcript is spliced from 6 exons.
GGUGCAAAACCCUAGCUUCCGCGGCCGUUUCUCCUCGCCAACUACUCUUCUGCCUCGUCUACUACGCGGGCGGGAUGAAGGUGAAGGUGAAGGUGAUAUCACGCUCCACCGACGACUUCACGCGCGAGCGCAGCCAGGACUUGCAGAAAGUAUUCCGCAAUUACGAUCCAGGACUUCAUAUGCAAGAGAAAGCUGUUGAGUACAGUCGGGCACUUAAUACCGCAAAGUUAGAGAAGAUAUUUGCAAAGCCAUUUAUUGGAGCAAUGUACGGGCAUAUUCAUGCCGUAUCGUGCAUGGCGAAGAACCCCAAUCAUUUGAAAGCAAUAUUUUCUGGUUCCAUGGAUGGGGGGUGUUUUGUGUAAGUACACCUAUGGCAGGACCUAUAUAGUCUCUGGAAGUGAUGAUACAAAUAUUCGGCUGUGGAAGUCCAAAGUUUCAGAAUAACUGGGAGUCGCAAGUUUUACACAACGAACAAGUUUGUCUUACUGCUCAUUCUUCUUCCAAGGGAGCGCAAAAAGCAAGAAUACCUAGGUGCUGUCAAGGAGCGGUAUAAGCACCUUCCAGAAGUCAAGCGGAUUGUGCGGCAUAGACACCUACCAAAGCCAAUCUACAAGGCAGGCAACUUAAGGCAUACUAUGAUUGAAUCAGAGAACCGUAAAGAAGAAAGAAGACGAAAGCACAGUUCUCCAGGGAGCAUGCCUGUACAGUCCUUCAGGAAACGAAGAAUCAUCAAAGAAGUUGAGUCGCUAUAUGAAGCGCUGGCCUUGCCUUUCAGCGCGUUGUUUCUGUUUAUCUCCAAGUCGCAAAGCUAUCUUAACAUCGUGAAGUUUGUUCUGGCGGGGUUUGAGAAGCAGAAAGAAUCAACACUGUUCUAUGUUUCAGUUGAGACUCGAAACUGCUGAAGUUUUGCCCCUCCUACAAUAUGUUGUAUUAUUUUGUUUUGAGAGAAUCCCUAAUGUUUCUAUAGAGCCUGUUUGCACUAGCAUAGAAAGAAUUUUGUACCUACAUAAUCCAAAACUUAUUAUUAUUAUAGGAUUCCAAUCCUAUAAAAAUUUAAAAAUAAAUCAUUCCUAUAUUCCAAACAA